RNAcentral lists this ribosomal RNA (253 nucleotides) under uncultured bacterium. RNAcentral's name for it is "partial 16S ribosomal RNA". It matches the Rfam family "Bacterial small subunit ribosomal RNA", at positions 524 to 776 of the family's 1533-position model. The record is from RNAcentral.
UACGUAGGUGGCAAGCGUUGUCCGGAAUUACUGGGUGUAAAGGGAGCGCAGGCGGGGACUUAAGUUGGAUGUGAAAUGCCGCAGCUUAACUGCGGAGCUGCAUCCAAAACUGGGACUCUUGAGUGAAGUAGAGGUAGGUGGAAUUCCUGGUGUAGCGGUGAAAUGCGCAGAUAUCAGGAGGAACACCAAUGGCGAAGGCAGCUCGCUGGGACGUGACUGACGCUGAGACGCGAAAGCGUGGGGAGCAAACAGG